UACGGAGGAUGCAAGCGUUAUCCGGAAUGAUUGGGCGUAAAGCGUCCGCAGGUGGCAAGUCAAGUUUGCGGUUAAAGGUUCUGGCUCAACCAGAGACAGGCCGUGAAAACUGACUAGCUAGAGUAUGGUAGGGGCAGAGGGAAUUCCCAGUGUAGCGGUGAAAUGCGUAGAGAUUGGGAAGAACACCGGUGGCGAAAGCGCUCUGCUAGGCCAAAACUGACACUGAGGGACGAAAGCUAGGGGAGCGAAUGGG
RNAcentral lists this non-coding RNA (253 nucleotides) under uncultured cyanobacterium. RNAcentral's name for it is "contains 16S-23S intergenic spacer region". It matches the Rfam family "Bacterial small subunit ribosomal RNA", at positions 524 to 776 of the family's 1533-position model. Lineage: Bacteria; Bacillati; Cyanobacteriota. The record is from RNAcentral. RNAcentral also lists the same sequence under 1 other name.